CCUACGGGUGGCUGCAGUGGGGAAUAUUGCGCAAUGGGCGAAAGCCUGACGCAGCGACGCCGCGUGAGGGAUGAAGGUCUUCGGAUCGUAAACCUCUGUCAGCAGGGAAGAACGGUCACUGUGCUAAUCAGCAGUGAAUUGACGGUACCUGAAAAGGAAGCACCGGCUAACUCCGUGCCAGCAGCCGCGGUAAUACGGAGGGUGCGUGCUUUAAUCGGAAUGACUGGGCGGAAAGCGCUCGUAGGCGGUAUGUCCAGUCAAGGGUGAAAUCCCCGCGCUCAACGUGGGCACUGCCUUUGAAACUGGCGAACUUGAGUGUGUGAGAGGAGAGUGGAAU
This 337-nucleotide ribosomal RNA is filed under the name uncultured bacterium. RNAcentral describes it as "partial 16S ribosomal RNA". It matches the Rfam family "Bacterial small subunit ribosomal RNA", at positions 338 to 667 of the family's 1533-position model. The record is from RNAcentral.